RNAcentral lists this ribosomal RNA (483 nucleotides) under uncultured bacterium. RNAcentral's name for it is "partial 16S ribosomal RNA". It matches the Rfam family "Bacterial small subunit ribosomal RNA", at positions 30 to 506 of the family's 1533-position model. The record is from RNAcentral.
AUUGAACGCUGGCGGCAGGCCUAACACAUGCAAGUCGAGCGGAUGAAGGGAGCUUGCUCCUGGAUUCAGCGGCGGACGGGUGAGUAAUGCCUAGGAAUCUGCCUGGUAGUGGGGGAUAACGUCCGGAAACGGGCGCUAAUACCGCAUACGUCCUGAGGGAGAAAGUGGGGGAUCUUCGGACCUCACGCUAUCAGAUGAGCCUAGGUCGGAUUAGCUAGUUGGUGGGGUAAAGGCCUACCAAGGCGACGAUCCGUAACUGGUCUGAGAGGAUGAUCAGUCACACUGGAACUGAGACACGGUCCAGACUCCUGCGGGAGGCAGCAGUGGGGAAUAUUGGACAAUGGGCGAAAGCCUGAUCCAGCCAUGCCGCGUGUGUGAAGAAGGUCUUCGGAUUGUAAAGCACUUUAAGUUGGGAGGAAGGGCAGUAAGUUAAUACCUUGCUGUUUUGACGUUACCAACAGAAGAAGCACCGGCUAACUUCGU